Molecule: ribosomal RNA, 1602 nt
Filed under: Cobetia sp. QF-1
Lineage: Bacteria; Pseudomonadati; Pseudomonadota; Gammaproteobacteria; Oceanospirillales; Halomonadaceae
Description: bacterial LSU rRNA
Rfam family: Bacterial large subunit ribosomal RNA
Source: RNAcentral
GAUUGAGAAGUCUGCUGGAGGUAUCACGAGUGCGAAUGCUGACAUGAGUAACGAUAAGGGGAGUGAAAAACUCCCCCGCCGGAAGACCAAGGUUUUCUGUUCUACGUUAAUCGGAGCAGAGUGAGUCGGCCCCUAAGGCGAGGCGGAAACGCGUAGUCGAUGGGAAACGGGUUAAUAUUCCCGUACCGGAUAUGGUUGCGAUGGGGGGACGAAGAAGGCUAGGUGAGCCAGGCGUUGGUUGUCCUGGUGAAAGCAUGUAGGCCGAGGAAUCAGGCAAAUCCGGUUCCUCUGAGGUCGAGAUGCGAGACGAACUGACUACGGUCAGGAAGUUGCCGAUGCCACGCUUCCAGGAAAAGCCUCUAAGCUUCAGAUCAUAUGCGACCGUACCCCAAACCGACACAGGUGGUCAGGUAGAGAAUACCAAGGCGCUUGAGAGAACUCGGGUGAAGGAACUAGGCAAAAUGGCACCGUAACUUCGGGAGAAGGUGCACCGGUUUGAGUGAAGGACUUGCUCCGUAAGCUCUUACCGGUCGAAGAUACCAGGUGGCUGCAACUGUUUAUUAAAAACACAGCACUCUGCAAACGCGCAAGCGGACGUAUAGGGUGUGACGCCUGCCCGGUGCCGGAAGGUUAAUUGAUGGGGUUAGGAUUCGUCCGAAGCUCUUGAUCGAAGCCCCGGUAAACGGCGGCCGUAACUAUAACGGUCCUAAGGUAGCGAAAUUCCUUGUCGGGUAAGUUCCGACCUGCACGAAUGGCGUAAUGAUGGCCACGCUGUCUCCACCCGAGACUCAGUGAAAUUGAAAUCGCAGUGAAGAUGCUGUGUACCCGCGGCUAGACGGAAAGACCCCGUGAACCUUUACUAUAGCUUUACACUGGAUGCUGAUGUUGUCUGUGUAGGAUAGCUGGGAGGCUUGGAAACCUGGGCGCUAGCUCAGGUGGAGCCAACCUUGAAAUACCAGCCUGACAUCAUUGGCGUUCUAACUCAGGUCCCUUAUCGGGAUCGAGGACAGUGUAUGGUGGGUAGUUUGACUGGGGCGGUCUCCUCCUAAAGAGUAACGGAGGAGCACGAAGGUACCCUCAGCACGGUUGGAAAUCGUGCAUUGAGUGCAAGAGCAUAAGGGUGCUUGACUGCGAGACAGACACGUCGAGCAGGUACGAAAGUAGGUUCUAGUGAUCCGGUGGUUCUGUAUGGAAGGGCCAUCGCUCAACGGAUAAAAGGUACUCCGGGGAUAACAGGCUGAUACCGCCCAAGAGUUCACAUCGACGGCGGUGUUUGGCACCUCGAUGUCGGCUCAUCACAUCCUGGGGCUGAAGUCGGUCCCAAGGGUAUGGCUGUUCGCCAUUUAAAGUGGUACGCGAGCUGGGUUUAGAACGUCGUGAGACAGUUCGGUCCCUAUCUGCCGUGGGCGUCGGAAGUUUGAGAAGAGCUGCUCCUAGUACGAGAGGACCGGAGUGGACGAACCUCUGGUGUUCGGGUUGUCACGCCAGUGGCAUUGCCCGGUAGCUACGUUCGGACGGGAUAACCGCUGAAAGCAUCUAAGCGGGAAGCCCCCUUCAAGAUGAGACUUCCCUGAGGCCUUGCGCCUCCUGAAGGGCCCUUGA